Molecule: ribosomal RNA, 451 nt
Filed under: uncultured bacterium
Lineage: Bacteria
Description: partial 16S ribosomal RNA
Rfam family: Bacterial small subunit ribosomal RNA
Source: RNAcentral
GUGGGGAAUAUUGGACAAUGGGGGGAACCCUGAUCCAGCCAUGCCGCGUGUGUGAAGAAGGCCUUUUGGUUGUAAAGCACUUUAAGCGAGGAGGAGGCUACCGAGAUUAAUACUCUUGGAGAGUGGACGUUACUCGCAGAAUAAGCACCGGCUAACUCUGUGCCAGCAGCCGCGGUAAUACAGAGGGUGCAAGCGUUAAUCGGAUUUACUGGGCGUAAAGCGCGCGUAGGUGGCCAAUUAAGUCAAAUGUGAAAUCCCCGAGCUUAACUUGGGAAUUGCAUUCGAUACUGGUUGGCUAGAGUAUGGGAGAGGAUGGUAGAAUUCCAGGUGUAGCGGUGAAAUGCGUAGAGAUCUGGAGGAAUACCGAUGGCGAAGGCAGCCAUCUGGCCUAAUACUGACACUGAGGUGCGAAAGCAUGGGGAGCAAACAGGAUUAGAUACCCGUGUAGUCC